Molecule: ribosomal RNA, 448 nt
Filed under: uncultured Glomus
Lineage: Eukaryota; Fungi; Glomeromycota; Glomeromycetes; Glomerales; Glomeraceae
Description: SSU rRNA
Rfam family: Eukaryotic small subunit ribosomal RNA
Source: RNAcentral
AGCAGCCGCGGUAAUUCCAGCUCCAAUAGCGUAUAUUAAAGUUGUUGCAGUUAAAAAGCUCGUAGUUGAAUUUCGGGAUCAAUAUGUCGGUCGUGCCAUCGGUACGUACUGGUAUCAUUGGUUUCUCCUUUCUGACGAACCAUGAUGUCAUUAAUUUGGUGUUAUGGGAAGUUAGGACUGUUACUUUGAAAAAAUUAGAGUGUUUAAAGCAGGCUUUGGCUUGAAUACAUUAGCAUGGAAUAAUGAAAUAGGACGUUCGAACCUAUUUUGUUGGUUUCUAGGAUCAACGUAAUGAUUAAUAGGGAUAGUUGGGGCAUUAGUAUUCAAUUGUCAGAGGUGAAAUUCUUGGAUUUAUUGAAGACUAACUACUGCGAAAGCAUUUGCCAAGGAUGUUUCAUUAAUCAAGAACGAAAGUUAGGGAUCGAAGACGAUCAGAUACCGUCGUAGU